This 389-nucleotide ribosomal RNA is filed under the name uncultured bacterium. Its description in RNAcentral is "bacterial SSU rRNA". It matches the Rfam family "Bacterial small subunit ribosomal RNA", at positions 9 to 400 of the family's 1533-position model. The record is from RNAcentral.
GAGUUUGAUCGUGGCUCAGGACGAACGCUGGCGGCGUGCCUAACACAUGCAAGUCGAACGGAGAAUUUUAUUUCGGUAGAAUUCUUAGCGGCGGACGGGUGAGUAACGCGUGGGUAACCUGCCUCAUACAGGGGGAUAACAGUUAGAAAUGACUGCUAAUACCGCAUAAGCGCACAGCUUCGCAUGAAGCGGUGUGAAAAACUCCGGUGGUAUGAGAUGGACCCGCGUCUGAUUAGUUAGUUGGCGGGUAACGCCCACCAAGACGACGAUCAGUAGCCGACCUGAGAGGUGACCGGCCACAUUGGGACUGAGACACGGCCAAACUCCUACGGGAGGCAGCAGUGGGGAAUAUUGCACAAGUGGGGGAAACCCUGAUGCAGCGACGCCGC